Molecule: ribosomal RNA, 442 nt
Filed under: uncultured bacterium
Lineage: Bacteria
Description: partial 16S ribosomal RNA
Rfam family: Bacterial small subunit ribosomal RNA
Source: RNAcentral
CCUACGGGGUGCAGCAGUGGGGGAUAUUGCACAAUGGGGGAAACCCUGAUGCAGCGACGCCGCGUGGGCGAAGAAGUAUUUCGGUAUGUAAAGCCCUAUCAGCAGGGAAGAAGAAAUGACGGUACCUGAGUAAGAAGCACCGGCUAAAUACGUGCCAGCAGCCGCGGUAAUACGUAUGGUGCAAGCGUUAUCCGGAUUUACUGGGUGUAAAGGGAGCGUAGACGGCAGUGCAAGUCUGGAGUGAAAGGCGGGGGCUCAACCCCCGGACUGCUCUGGAAACUGUACGGCUGGAGUGCAGGAGAGGUAAGUGGAAUUCCUAGUGUAGCGGUGAAAUGCGUAGAUAUUAGGAGGAACACCAGUGGCGAAGGCGGCUUACUGGACUGUAACUGACGUUGAGGCUCGAAAGCGUGGGGAGCAAACAGGAUUAGAUACCCCAGUAGUC